RNAcentral lists this ribosomal RNA (542 nucleotides) under uncultured Ferruginibacter sp. RNAcentral describes it as "bacterial SSU rRNA". It matches the Rfam family "Bacterial small subunit ribosomal RNA", at positions 355 to 897 of the family's 1533-position model. The record is from RNAcentral. Lineage: Bacteria; Pseudomonadati; Bacteroidota; Chitinophagia; Chitinophagales; Chitinophagaceae.
UAAGGAAUAUUGGUCAAUGGACGGAAGUCUGAACCAGCCAUGCCGCGUGAAGGAUGAAGGCCCUCUGGGUUGUAAACUUCUUUUAUCUGGGACGAAAAAAGGGGAUUCUUCCUCACUUGACGGUACCAGAGGAAUAAGCACCGGCUAACUCCGUGCCAGCAGCCGCGGUAAUACGGAGGGUGCAAGCGUUAUCCGGAUUUACUGGGUUUAAAGGGUGCGUAGGUGGGUAGGUAAGUCAGUGGUGAAAUCUUCAAGCUUAACUUGGAAACUGCCAUUGAUACUAUUUAUCUUGAAUACUUUGGAGGUAAGCGGAAUAUGUCAUGUAGCGGUGAAAUGCUUAGAUAUGACAUAGAACACCAAUUGCGAAGGCAGCUUACUACACAGUUAUUGACACUGAGGCACGAAAGCGUGGGGAUCAAACAGGAUUAGAUACCCUGGUAGUCCACGCCCUAAACGAUGGAUACUCGACAUUAGCGAUAUACAGUUAGUGUCUGAGCGAAAGCAUUAAGUAUCCCACCUGGGAAGUACGACCGCAAGGUUGA